Molecule: non-coding RNA, 74 nt
Organism: Schistocerca cancellata (South American locust)
Lineage: Eukaryota; Metazoa; Arthropoda; Insecta; Orthoptera; Acrididae
Source: the annotation of a RefSeq genome assembly
GGCCCGUUAGCUCAGUGGGCUACAGCGUCGUGCUAGUAACGCGAAGGUCAUGGGUUCGAUCCCUCCACGGGCCA